Molecule: unclassified non-coding RNA, 283 nt
Filed under: Tilletia indica
Lineage: Eukaryota; Fungi; Basidiomycota; Exobasidiomycetes; Tilletiales; Tilletiaceae
Description: partial internal transcribed spacer region
Rfam family: Eukaryotic small subunit ribosomal RNA (bases 1-46)
Source: RNAcentral
AAGUCAUAACAAGGUUUCUGUAGGUGAACCUGCAGAAGGAUCAUUAGUGAAUUACGGAGCUCUUCUUCGGAAGAGUCUCCUUCUCUUUUAUCCCAACACCAAACUACGGAAGGAACGAGGCUUGCGCUGAGUACCUGUCCGGAUGGAACAGAGUUGCUGGUACUUCGGUAUUGGCAGCGCUGCUCCAACCCUUUUAAACACUUAAGAAUUAAAGAAUGUUAAAACUAUUGUCUUCGGACAUAAACUAAUAUACAACUUUUGACAACGGAUCUCUUGGUUCUCC